AUGGGGCGAAGAAUAAUACCAUUAAAGGGAAAGCGCCGUCGUCCAGGCUUGCCGCACCCACCAGCACCUCCGCCGAGGCUCCACCUCAAAGGAGACAUUGCGAGGACUGUUGGAGUAAUUAGGCUGCUAUUGGAGACACCUUCUGGUUUCGGAAUUUUCUCAUUUGAUGGGACCUACCUGAAGAAAGAUAAUGAGGACAUCUGGUCAUACUUCGUGGAUAAACUGUGGCUACACAAUGUCAUCUGGCUUAAAGAAUUUAUAAGGUUUGAGAACAAGUCUACUGCUAUUAACCUUGAAACGGGGGUUAUUCAUGUUGAUCUGAUCAAUAUGCUGAAGAAGUGGUGCGACUCUGAGGAGAAACUAGCUGUUGGAAGGGCUGAAUAUAAAAUGAUAAUUGAAAGGAAGAUGGAAAUCACCUGUCUGUAUGAUCAAAAUGUAGAGGAGGUGAUGUGGGGUCUGAAGAAUAACAUGCAAUUUUUAGUGCCUCAAGAAAAAACAAAGCUGACUGAGAAGGAUUGUGUCCCCAUCAGCAAAGGACUUGAGCGGUUCUUAAUUCAGUAUAAAAUUGAUAUGAACCCAGAGAUGGUUAAUGUGCAUGUUGCUCAGCAGGCUGGCAUUAUCCAUCGUACUGAUUUAGCAUUAAAGAAGCACUCUGCAUUCUUUAAACUUGUUGGUGAAUCUCUUAAGAGUAUAUCAGACAUUGACAGUAAGGACUGGUGCUCAAUCAAACUUGCAACAGCUGCGGUGAUGAUAUGUCAUCCUGACAAAAUACCUAAAUACGCAAAGAUGGUCUCACCAGACGAGUACUCAAAGAUAAAAAAGGAUGCAUCCAGAUAUGAAGACGUGAUAAAGGAGAUCGAUACAUGGCUAGUCUACAGAGAUGUUGUCUUUCUCAGUGAAAAGAAGUCCAAAACUAUGAUGAAAUUUCAUUGCUUGAUAAGAGAGGCAAGCUCUUGA
This 957-nucleotide ribosomal RNA is filed under the name Triticum aestivum (bread wheat). RNAcentral describes it as "partial small subunit ribosomal RNA". Lineage: Eukaryota; Viridiplantae; Streptophyta; Magnoliopsida; Poales; Poaceae. The record is from RNAcentral.